This 2778-nucleotide ribosomal RNA is filed under the name Escherichia coli. RNAcentral describes it as "partial 23S ribosomal RNA". It matches the Rfam family "Bacterial large subunit ribosomal RNA". The record is from RNAcentral. Lineage: Bacteria; Pseudomonadati; Pseudomonadota; Gammaproteobacteria; Enterobacterales; Enterobacteriaceae.
GGUUAAGCGACUAAGCGUACACGGUGGAUGCCCUGGCAGUCAGAGGCGAUGAAGGACGUGCUAAUCUGCGAUAAGCGUCGGUAAGGUGAUAUGAACCGUUAUAACCGGCGAUUUCCGAAUGGGGAAACCCAGUGUGUUUCGACACACUAUCAUUAACUGAAUCCAUAGGUUAAUGAGGCGAACCGGGGGAACUGAAACAUCUAAGUACCCCGAGGAAAAGAAAUCAACCGAGAUUCCCCCAGUAGCGGCGAGCGAACGGGGAGGAGCCCAGAGCCUGAAUCAGUGUGUGUGUUAGUGGAAGCGUCUGGAAAGGCGCGCGAUACAGGGUGACAGCCCCGUACACAAAAAUGCACAUACUGUGAGCUCGAUGAGUAGGGCGGGACACGUGGUAUCCUGUCUGAAUAUGGGGGGACCAUCCUCCAAGGCUAAAUACUCCUGACUGACCGAUAGUGAACCAGUACCGUGAGGGAAAGGCGAAAAGAACCCCGGCGAGGGGAGUGAAAAAGAACCUGAAACCGUGUACGUACAAGCAGUGGGAGCCUCUUUUAUGGGGUGACUGCGUACCUUUUGUAUAAUGGGUCAGCGACUUAUAUUCUGUAGCAAGGUUAACCGAAUAGGGGAGCCGAAGGGAAACCGAGUCUUAACUGGGCGUUAAGUUGCAGGGUAUAGACCCGAAACCCGGUGAUCUAGCCAUGGGCAGGUUGAAGGUUGGGUAACACUAACUGGAGGACCGAACCGACUAAUGUUGAAAAAUUAGCGGAUGACUUGUGGCUGGGGGUGAAAGGCCAAUCAAACCGGGAGAUAGCUGGUUCUCCCCGAAAGCUAUUUAGGUAGCGCCUCGUGAAUUCAUCUCCGGGGGUAGAGCACUGUUUCGGCAAGGGGGUCAUCCCGACUUACCAACCCGAUGCAAACUGCGAAUACCGGAGAAUGUUAUCACGGGAGACACACGGCGGGUGCUAACGUCCGUCGUGAAGAGGGAAACAACCCAGACCGCCAGCUAAGGUCCCAAAGUCAUGGUUAAGUGGGAAACGAUGUGGGAAGGCCCAGACAGCCAGGAUGUUGGCUUAGAAGCAGCCAUCAUUUAAAGAAAGCGUAAUAGCUCACUGGUCGAGUCGGCCUGCGCGGAAGAUGUAACGGGGCUAAACCAUGCACCGAAGCUGCGGCAGCGACGCUUAUGCGUUGUUGGGUAGGGGAGCGUUCUGUAAGCCUGUGAAGGUGUACUGUGAGGUAUGCUGGAGGUAUCAGAAGUGCGAAUGCUGACAUAAGUAACGAUAAAGCGGGUGAAAAGCCCGCUCGCCGGAAGACCAAGGGUUCCUGUCCAACGUUAAUCGGGGCAGGGUGAGUCGACCCCUAAGGCGAGGCCGAAAGGCGUAGUCGAUGGGAAACAGGUUAAUAUUCCUGUACUUGGUGUUACUGCGAAGGGGGGACGGAGAAGGCUAUGUUGGCCGGGCGACGGUUGUCCCGGUUUAAGCGUGUAGGCUGGUUUUCCAGGCAAAUCCGGAAAAUCAAGGCUGAGGCGUGAUGACGAGGCACUACGGUGCUGAAGCAACAAAUGCCCUGCUUCCAGGAAAAGCCUCUAAGCAUCAGGUAACAUCAAAUCGUACCCCAAACCGACACAGGUGGUCAGGUAGAGAAUACCAAGGCGCUUGAGAGAACUCGGGUGAAGGAACUAGGCAAAAUGGUGCCGUAACUUCGGGAGAAGGCACGCUGAUAUGUAGGUGAAGCGACUUGCUCGUGGAGCUGAAAUCAGUCGAAGAUACCAGCUGGCUGCAACUGUUUAUUAAAAACACAGCACUGUGCAAACACGAAAGUGGACGUAUACGGUGUGACGCCUGCCCGGUGCCGGAAGGUUAAUUGAUGGGGUUAGCGGUAACGCGAAGCUCUUGAUCGAAGCCCCGGUAAACGGCGGCCGUAACUAUAACGGUCCUAAGGUAGCGAAAUUCCUUGUCGGGUAAGUUCCGACCUGCACGAAUGGCGUAAUGAUGGCCAGGCUGUCUCCACCCGAGACUCAGUGAAAUUGAACUCGCUGUGAAGAUGCAGUGUACCCGCGGCAAGACGGAAAGACCCCGUGAACCUUUACUAUAGCUUGACACUGAACAUUGAGCCUUGAUGUGUAGGAUAGGUGGGAGGCUUUGAAGUGUGGACGCCAGUCUGCAUGGAGCCGACCUUGAAAUACCACCCUUUAAUGUUUGAUGUUCUAACGUUGGCCCCUGAUCGGGGUUGCGGACAGUGUCUGGUGGGUAGUUUGACUGGGGCGGUCUCCUCCUAAAGAGUAACGGAGGAGCACGAAGGUUGGCUAAUCCUGGUCGGACAUCAGGAGGUUAGUGCAAUGGCAUAAGCCAGCUUGACUGCGAGCGUGACGGCGCGAGCAGGUGCGAAAGCAGGUCAUAGUGAUCCGGUGGUUCUGAAUGGAAGGGCCAUCGCUCAACGGAUAAAAGGUACUCCGGGGAUAACAGGCUGAUACCGCCCAAGAGUUCAUAUCGACGGCGGUGUUUGGCACCUCGAUGUCGGCUCAUCACAUCCUGGGGCUGAAGUAGGUCCCAAGGGUAUGGCUGUUCGCCAUUUAAAGUGGUACGCGAGCUGGGUUUAGAACGUCGUGAGACAGUUCGGUCCCUAUCUGCCGUGGGCGCUGGAGAACUGAGGGGGGCUGCUCCUAGUACGAGAGGACCGGAGUGGACGCAUCACUGGUGUUCGGGUUGUCAUGCCAAUGGCACUGCCCGGUAGCUAAAUGCGGAAGAGAUAAGUGCUGAAAGCAUCUAAGCACGAAACUUGCCCCGA